This 1018-nucleotide long non-coding RNA is filed under the name Equus caballus (horse). RNAcentral's name for it is "lncRNA (ENSECAG00000047591.1)". Lineage: Eukaryota; Metazoa; Chordata; Mammalia; Perissodactyla; Equidae. The record is from RNAcentral.
AGUUUGUAUUCAAUCCUCUCACCUUCCAAAAGUAUCUCUAGGAGAUGAAGCAACAUUUGACCACUGCUGGCCCUUCCCUGGCAUGGGGGCUCAGAAUGGCAAAGCAAAUGGGUGCAAGCCUGGGAUCAGGAGACUUGAGUGCGAGUCACAUAUUCUGUAGGAGCUUUGUGACCUGGAUCAAGAUGACUCAUUCUGGAAGAAGUCACUGGCCUCAUUGUAGUAGCCCCACAGGGAGGCCCACAUGGCAAGGAACUGAAACCUUUAGGCAACAGCCAAGGAAGAACAGAGGUCAGUCACUAAACACACAAGUGAGCUUGGAAGUGGAUUCUUCAGGCUCAGCAAUAGAUAACUAAUACAGGAAGAAAAGAUGGAUAUGAAGUGGAGAAGAACAAAGAUAAACUGGACCCCACAAGGAUAAGCUGGAACCUCAGGGGCAGACUAGAACCUGCAUUGGUCUUAUGCUCCUUCUAAGUCUUCAUCUUUGAUGAUGCUGGUGACCUGCGCGAGAAGCUGGAAUCUUUCAUCACAAAGCUAAGCGUGCACCUGCUUCAGUAGCUGGAGGAGCUGAAGGAGCAUUCAGCGGGAGGAUAUAGAAUCAUCAAGGGGCUACCAUGUCACUGAAUUUUGUCCUGUAGACUACGGAUGGAUGUCACGGAUGCCAUUCCAGCCCCAGCCCAUCAAUAAAAACCUUCUGCACAAUCCUCCAUAUCUCCUCUUUUCCCUCAUUUGCCAGCUUGGCUUAGAGGACUCAGCAGAGAACUCUGAGGGGACAAUGGAGCCUGAUGGAAGGAGUGUGGACCUGAAUAUCUGUGUGAGUGGAACCCCCUUCCAACCUGCGCUGGACUAGGACAUGACUGAGAAAUAAACCUGUAAUGUAUUAAACCACUAAGAUUCUCAGGAAGCUUUUUAUAGCCAUUUGCCUACCCUCAUGAAUGGAAAUAGAUUAGAACAACUAAGUAACCUCCCCAAGGUCAAACAGCUACCAAACAGUAGAGCAGAAAUACAACUGAGAAGUAAG